Molecule: ribosomal RNA, 253 nt
Filed under: uncultured bacterium
Lineage: Bacteria
Description: partial 16S ribosomal RNA
Rfam family: Bacterial small subunit ribosomal RNA
Source: RNAcentral
CACGUAGGAUUCAAGCGUUAUCCGAAUUUACUGGGCGUAAAGCGCAUGCAGGCGGUUUGGUAAGUUGGAUGUGAAAGCUCCUGGCUCAACUGGGAGAGGCCGUUCAAAACUACCAGACUUGAGGACAGUAGAGGAAGAUGGAAUUACCGGUGUAGUAGUGAAAUGCGUAGAUAUCGGUAGGAACACCAGUGGCGAAGGCGGUCUUCUGGACUGUUUCUGACGCUCAGAUGCGAAAGCUAGGGUAGCGAAUGGG